CCAACAGUCACAUUUCUCAUAGAUGCAGGUCCAAGCAAAACCUAUAAAAUGUUGCUGCUCCAUGUCAUUACUCUGGCUUUGGUUUUGUCUUAUGGAUGUGCAGAAAUACAUCUGAUACAAGCUCAGUUGUCGAUUACCAGGGCAGAAACUAAAAC
Mauremys reevesii (Reeves's turtle) is the source of this 155-nucleotide long non-coding RNA. RefSeq lists it as uncharacterized. The transcript has 2 exons. NCBI's taxonomy places the organism in Eukaryota, Metazoa, Chordata, Testudines, Geoemydidae. The record is from RefSeq and is a predicted model, not a curated record.